Molecule: ribosomal RNA, 419 nt
Filed under: uncultured Haslea
Lineage: Eukaryota; Bacillariophyta; Bacillariophyceae; Naviculales; Naviculaceae
Description: SSU rRNA
Rfam family: Eukaryotic small subunit ribosomal RNA
Source: RNAcentral
CCAGCACCCGCGGUAAUUCCAGCUCCAAUAGCGUAUAUUAAAGUUGUUGCAGUUAAAAAGCUCGUAGUUGGAUUUGUGGCGUACGAGGUGUUCCCGGCACUUGUUGUCGGUGUUUUACCUCGUUGCCAUCCUUGGGUGGAAUCUGUGUGGCAUUAGGUUGUCGUGCAGGGGAUGCCCAUCUUUUACUGUGAGAAAAUUAGAGUGUUCAAAGCAGGCUUAUGCCGUUGAAUAUGUUAGCAUGGAAUAAUGAGAUAGGACCUUGGUACUAUUUUGUUGGUUUGCGCACCGAGGUAAUGAUUAAUAGGGACAGUUGGGGGUAUUCGUAUUCCAUUGUCAGAGGUGAAAUUCUUGGAUUUUUGGAAGACGAACUACUGCGAAAGCAUUUACCAAGGAUGUUUUCAUUAAUCAAGAACGAAAGU